This 460-nucleotide ribosomal RNA is filed under the name uncultured bacterium. RNAcentral describes it as "partial 16S ribosomal RNA". It matches the Rfam family "Bacterial small subunit ribosomal RNA", at positions 338 to 795 of the family's 1533-position model. The record is from RNAcentral.
CCUACGGGUGGCAGCAGUGAGGAAUAUUGGUCAAUGGGCGAGAGCCUGAACCAGCCAAGUCGCGUGAAGGAUGACGGCCCUACGGGUUGUAACCUUCUUUUGUCAGGGAGCAAUUGGGUCCACGCGUGGGCUUAGCGAGAGUAACUGAAGAAAAAGCAUCGGCUAACUCCGUGCCAGCAGCCGCGGUAAUACGGAGGCUGCGAGGGUUAUCCGUAUUUACUGGGUUUAAAGGGUGCGUAGGCGGAAUAUCAAGUCAGCGGUAAACAUUCGGGGCUCAACCCCGUCGUGCCGUUGAAACUGAUGUUCUAGAGUGGGCGAGAAGUAUGCGGAAUGCGUGGUGUAGCGGUGAAAUGCAUAGAUAUUACGCAGAACUCCGAUUGCGAAGGCAGCAUACCGGCGCCCAACUGACGCUGAAGCACGAAAGCGUGGGUAUCGAACAGGAUUAGAUACCCCAGUAGUC